Molecule: non-coding RNA, 161 nt
Filed under: uncultured eukaryote
Lineage: Eukaryota
Source: RNAcentral
CACGGAGAGAAAAGAAGAAGAAAAGAAAAGCGAAAAAGAAAAAGAAGAAGAAGAGUACUAGUUCAGCUAAGAGCCCGCCCUUAUUUUUUUGCUUGUUUGUGGUAUACUUGUAUCGAACCCCAGGGUAUAUUGGAUCCUAUAACAGGGAAAAUUUAUAAUUA